GAUCGUAUGAUUACAUGGAUAACUGUGGUAAUUCUAGAGCUAAUACAUGCAACCAGCUCGUCCGUCUCGUACGGCGAGCGCAGUUAUUAGAACAAAACCAAUCCAGCCUCGGCUGGUCUACUGGUGACUCUGAAUAACCGAAGCGGAGCGCUAAGGUCUCGUACCGGCGCCAGAUCUUUCAAGUGUCUGACUUAUCAACUUGUAGCGAGGUUAUGUUCCUCGCUAGGUUGUGACGGGUGACGGGGAAUCAGGGUCCGAUUCCGGAGAGGGAGCCUGAGAAACGGCUACCACAUCCAAGGAAGGCAGCAGGCGCGCAAAUUACCCACUCCCGGCACGGGGAGGUAGUGACGAAAAAUAACGAUGCGAGAGCUUUUAUGCUUUUCGUAAUCGGAAUGGGUACACUUUAAAUCCUUUAACGAGGAUCUAUUGGAGGGCAAGUCUGGUGCCAGCAGCCGCGGUAAUUCCAGCUCCAAUAGCGUAUAUUAAAGUUGCUGCGGUUAAAAAGCUCGUAGUUGGAUCCGGGCAGUCGACGCGCGGUGCGCUUUACAGCGUUACUGCGUGCUCGUCGCCACUAUCCGGCCUGUCUUUCAUAUCCUUCAUUGGGCGUGAUUGGCGACCGGGACGUUUACUUUGAAAAAAUUAGAGUGCUUAAAGCAGGCAUAUGGCCUUGCAUAAUGGUGCAUGGAAUAAUGGAAUAGGACCUCGGUUCUAUUUUGUUGGUUAUCGGAGCUCGAGGUAAUGAUUAAGAGGAACAGACGGGGACAUUCGUAUUGCGGCGUUAGAGGUGAAAUUCUUGGAUCGUCGCAAGACGAACUACUGCGAAAGCAUUUGUCAAGAAUGUUUUCAUUAAUCAAGAACGAAAGUUAGAGGUUCGAAGGCGAUCAGAUACCGCCCUAGUUCUAACCAUAAACGAUGCCAACCAGCGAUCCGUCGGUGUUCAUUCAAUGACUCGACGGGCAGCUUCCGGGAAACCAAAGUGCUUAGGUUCCGGGGGAAGUAUGGUGCAAAGCUGAAACUAAA
This 1020-nucleotide ribosomal RNA is filed under the name Grevenius asper. RNAcentral describes it as "SSU rRNA". It matches the Rfam family "Eukaryotic small subunit ribosomal RNA", at positions 123 to 1147 of the family's 1831-position model. Lineage: Eukaryota; Metazoa; Tardigrada; Eutardigrada; Parachela; Doryphoribiidae. The record is from RNAcentral.